This 2616-nucleotide unclassified non-coding RNA is filed under the name Hevea brasiliensis (rubber tree). Lineage: Eukaryota; Viridiplantae; Streptophyta; Magnoliopsida; Malpighiales; Euphorbiaceae. The record is from RNAcentral.
UUUUUGAUGUAGCAUGAAGCUCACAAAGAGAACACACUCACACACACAGUGAAAUUUAAGAGAAAAAUACUCUGCUGGAUUUUUAUUACUGAAAACUCUAAACUGCAAUGCACAUAUUUUAGGUUAUUUAUAGAGUUUUUAGGCUCCUAACCUAAUAGGAAUAUGAAUCUAAUAAUUAGCAAGUUUAGAUAAACUAAUCUACAUUAGGAAAAUAUAGAUAAAGUAGGAAAUUAAACUAAUCCUAGCUUGGGUAGGAAAAUAUUAAUAAGUCCUUGAUGGAACAGGAAAGCCUCUUAAUUAACUCUAAACUAUUUCUACAACUACUGGAAGUCAAAACAGAAAGUCGCAGUCAAACUAGAACUACUGGAACUGAAAUUAUCCACAAAAAAAACGUAUCUGCACACUGCUGGACAGAACACCACACAGCCUGGGCGUCUGGCUGGGUCUGGUGCACUAGGGAGAUUGUGGCUUGCUGGUGUGAAGAACAUGCCCUGCAUCACACACACACACACACUCUCUCUUUAUAUAGGUGUCAAUUGUUCGAGUAGCCGAUAGAGGGUGUACGGCAAUGUUCACAAAUUGCUAAAUGGCAUAUACUUUAAUCCAAAUGCUAAAUUCUUCCAGUUUGGCAUUAAUGACCAAAAAUUCCCAGCAAAGGGAUUUAGGAUUUAAGGAAAGAUGCAAGGAGAAAAAAUCUCUCACAUGUCAUACCCUGUUCCAAUGUCCAAUUAUUAUCACAUGUAAAAAUAGGAAAAAUGUCAAGUUCAGCAACCAAAAGACAUGCACACAGGCAUGUCUGGAGAACCAAAGAAUUUUUGUUUUCAUAUAAAAAUGUGGAAAAUGUAAUUGAGCAGUCAAUGCACUCUUUUCCAUUUUCUUGUCACCUAUACAGACAUAUAUUAGUGAAUCAUUUGUGCUAUUGUCCCACCAUUUUUUUAACUGAUGAAGACUGGACAUCACAUUCUAUUUGAAUAAAUAAUUAGAUCACAGCCACAUGAUAAAUUUCAAUGGUACAAUUGAAAUCAAUAAUAAUUGAAGCCUUUGCAUAAAACACACAACUGAAUAAUGAUUAUCACCUAUUAGUUCCAUGUUUUGCCAAAACCCAUACUAAUCUGUAUAGAAAUUGAUUCCUGUUUCAAAGACCAUGCAUUGUGAAUUCAUCAUCAGCAUACACUUCUCACAUAAUCUAGCAUCAUUCCUCUAACUCAUCCAUUCCAUAAAAUAAGUUUUUCACAACUAGUUCUUUGAUCAAAAUAUAUUGUUGCUGUGCAACUGACUAGAUAAUUUAACACUAGCAAUUACAUGCAACUACUUAAUUCCAUUAUUGAUGAAUUUCAAGAAAGACCAUCUAACAGCAAAUCAAUCCAUUGCCAAGGCUAAAGAAAUGUGGUUGUGACACUCUCCUACAGAACCUUGUCACUUCCCCCAAUAAACACCCACAAAGAGUUGAACAGGAUAUUUAAUGACAAAUUUUCAAUCUCUUGGAUAUGCUUCUUAAAUCCAAACAAUCAUAUAAGGUUCUUGGUUUUUAGUGAUGGAAAAGAGUGUUUUACUGCAUAUCCCAACAACAAAUAACUGGAAAAGCAUGCAAUAUAACAAAAAAAAAUCCAAGGAGCAAACAUCCGCUAAAUCCACUAUCCCCAAAAAGAAAAUCUACUCGUGACUACAUAUAGAUUUUAAAAAGAUUUCCUUUACACACUCAUCUAAGUCAGCAGACCAGGGCCUUAGAUUCAAGAGCAAGAGUCAUAUUUCCUUCUGUGAAAGGAAAGUUAAAAGUGUAGUUGCUAUCAUAUGCUGCUUUUAUUUGCUUCAUAUCCCGUCAAUUUCAAAGAUAUUCAAGUAGAAUUUUUUUUUUUCACACCCACAUCAAGUUCUCUCUCAGCCUCUGACUUUGAAGGUUCUUGCAUCUUUUGCUCCAUUUUCAUUCGCUCUAAUUCUCAUCACAGCCUUUCUAAAGGUAUCAAUCACUUACAAUCAAGAUUAGAAAGUUAUAGAGGCAGUAGUUUUACUAGAAAACAUCCAAUACACACGCAUACAAGUAAGGAUACAGUAAGGGUAAAAUAAGUGCCAAUUGGGAGUACCAGGAAUGAAAAAAGCAGAGCAGGGCCAGCCGCGAGAAGUAAUGAGAGAUAGAGACUCUUCAUGGUUGAGCUGAUCAAACAAUUUUACAACCAAUUCACCUAACCUCAAGGGUCGGUGAUGUGGUGCGACCCAGAAAGAAGAGCCAGGAAGGAAAGGUAGCCAAUCGGGAGUAGAUUUCUGCAGCAUCACUCGCUGGAUCAUGUCCUCCAGUUUUUGCAUCAUCAACAUCUCCCCAUCAUCGUCAUCGCCACCACCACCGUCCGAUGACGAAGAGGAAGCAGAGUUAGAGGAGGAUGAUCCUUUCGAUGAUGAUAAUGCAGCGAGAUCGAUUUCAAUUAGUUGGGGCUUGGAGGAGCGGUGUCGAUGUUGGAAGGAGAGAGGGACGAGAGGUGGGUAUUUGAUCGGAAGAGAAGAGGAAUGGUUGCAGUGGCGGAGUAGGGCCCCAGAGAGAAUUCUUGCCAUGGCGAAGAAAGAGUGUGUAGAAACUGCGAAGUGCUCGUGGUAUUUUAUCAGAGAGAGGAGACUGGAGAGCGG